RNAcentral lists this unclassified non-coding RNA (300 nucleotides) under uncultured fungus. RNAcentral describes it as "sequence contains 5.8S rRNA gene, ITS2". The stretch from base 1 to 71 matches the Rfam family "5.8S ribosomal RNA", at positions 84 to 154 of the family's 154-position model. The record is from RNAcentral. Lineage: Eukaryota; Fungi.
GUGAGUCAUCGAAUCUUUGAACGCAUAUUGCGCUCGAGGCUUCGGCCAAGAGCAUGUCUGCCUCAGCGUCGGGUUAAUCCUCGCCCAACCAAUCCUUGGAUUGAACGGGCGGAUCUGGCUUUCCCAGGCCUAGUGUCUGGGUUCGCUGAAGCACAGAGGUUGAUGCAUGGACCCGAUAAGGGCCGCAACUGGGUAGGCAACUUGUUGCUAAUGCUUUAGUUGUUGGCUUGGGACUGUGCUUGUCGACCCGAAAUCAGGAAGGGCUUCGGCCCUAUUAACCUUUAUCUCGACCUGAGCUCA